GACGAACGCUGGCGGCGUGCUUAACACAUGCAAGUCGAGCGGUAAGGCCCUUCGGGGUACGACGAGCGGCGAACGGGUGAGUAACACGUGGGUGACCUGCCUCUAGCUCUGGGAUAAGCCUGGGAAACUGGGUCUAAUACCGGAUAUGACUCCACGGCGCAUGUUGUGGGGUGGAAAGCCUUGUGUGGCUAGAGAUGGGCCCGCGGCCUAUCAGCUUGUUGGUGGGGUGAUGGCCACCAAGGCGACGACGGGUAGCCGGCCUGAGAGGGCGACCGGCCACACUGGGACUGAGACACGGCCCAGACUCCUACGGGAGGCAGCAGUGGGGAAUCUUGCGCAAUGGGCGAAAGCCUGACGCAGCGACGCCGCGUGAGGGAUGAC
Molecule: ribosomal RNA, 381 nt
Filed under: uncultured bacterium
Lineage: Bacteria
Description: bacterial SSU rRNA
Rfam family: Bacterial small subunit ribosomal RNA
Source: RNAcentral